AUUGAACGCUGGCGGCAGGCUUAACACAUGCAAGUCGAGCGGGGGAAGGUAGCUUGCUACCGGACCUAGCGGCGGACGGGUGAGUAGUGCUUAGGAAUCUGCCUAUUAGUGGGGGACAACAUCUCGAAAGGGAUGCUAAUACCGCAUACGUCCUACGGGAGAAAGCAGGGGGUCUUCGGACCGUGCGCUAAUAGAUGAGCCCAAGUCGGAUUAGCUAGUUGGUGGGGUAAAGGCCUACCAAGGCGACGAUCUGUAGCGGGUCUGAGAGGAUGAUCCGCCACACUGGGACUGAGACACGGCCCAGACUCCUACGGGAGGCAGCAGUGGGGAAUAUUGGGCAAUGGGGGGAACCCUGAUCCAGCCAUGCCGCGUGUGUGAAGAAGGCCUUAUGGUUGUGAAGCACUUUAAGCGAGGAGGAGGCUACUUUAGUUAAUACCUAGAGAUAGUGGACGUUACUCGCAGAAUAAGCACCGGCUAACUCUGUGCCAGCCGCCGCUGUAA
RNAcentral lists this ribosomal RNA (501 nucleotides) under uncultured bacterium. RNAcentral describes it as "partial 16S ribosomal RNA". It matches the Rfam family "Bacterial small subunit ribosomal RNA", at positions 30 to 523 of the family's 1533-position model. The record is from RNAcentral.